Long non-coding RNA from Brassica oleracea var. oleracea, 1063 nucleotides. RefSeq lists it as uncharacterized. NCBI's taxonomy places the organism in Eukaryota, Viridiplantae, Streptophyta, Magnoliopsida, Brassicales, Brassicaceae. The record is from RefSeq and is a predicted model, not a curated record. The transcript has 3 exons.
ACAGAGUUGAAAUUCUUAAUCAUGAUUUGUGGGAUCUUACAAAGUAAACAAACCUAUGGUAGAACAUGUAAAAUAUUGAUAUACUAGUAUUAUAGCCUAUGCUAUGCAAGAGAAAACAAGGAUCGAGUGGAGGAUGAAACUCAGACAAGAGGCAAGGUUUGCGGUAAUGAAGGUGGAAGAAGAAGAAGAAGCAAGAUCAGACUGUAAGUACGAAAAUCUCUUCUCUGUUGAAGCAAGAUCAUCGGACUGUUAAAAACUGAUGUCGAUGAUGAUUAUCUUGAUGAUCUUGAGGAAGGUGAAAUCUUUUAAGGAAUGUCGUCUGAUUUGUAAAAGGUUAGCGUUUGUGGGAAUGAUUGUUUCUGGAAAUCGAUAAGUUCUUAGUUAUUAGUCUCUCUGUGUCUCCUUUUGAAUCUGUAAAUGUGGUUCUGUCUUUGGGGGCGUUUAGGUUUAGAUUCAGUUGUGUUGUUGUGUUCCGGAUUGCAAUCUGAGCAACAUCGCUUGUAUUGAUUGGUAUAUGAACAUUGAGAUUUAAGUCAGAAGAUUUGGAUUGUGGUUGACUGUUCGUUGAUGUCUAAAUGUUUUCCAUUUCUGAAUGGGAGAGAGGAGGCAGGUGAAGAUGGGGAUCUACGGGUCUGGAGUAUUGUUGAUGACUAGAGAUGUGAAGAACAUGACGUUCCCAAUCAAUCAGAAGACCAUUCUAAUAUAAUAUCUGGUCAACCUCUCAGUGCCAAGUUGUAGAUUGUAACCACGGUUUGUUACGGCCCAUCCUGGUAGGCUGGGAUAGUUGGAACUUUGAUGAGUGACUGCAGCAGCAGCCUCCUACUGUGUAUCAGGUGCUUUCUGAUUUUGUUGCACAUGCUAAGCUCUUUCACCUAUUCAUAGAUAGGUUGACAGAUUCCUUACCGUAAUAAGAUUAGAACUGGAGAAGCUGUUGGGUUAACUUCUGGCUGUCUCCAUAGGUGAUCCCUACCAACCCCGGGAGUAAAAACUAAAGAGAGGUGUUAACAUUGUAUGUUUUUUUGUUCUUUUUAACUCAAAAUUCUGGAGCAGAAUCUAUUUAGAG